Non-coding RNA from Chrysemys picta bellii (western painted turtle), 294 nucleotides. The record is from RefSeq and is a predicted model, not a curated record. NCBI's taxonomy places the organism in Eukaryota, Metazoa, Chordata, Testudines, Emydidae.
CACCCGGCGAGCGGGGUCGAGCCCGGCCGGCCUCAGCCAUCGCGGUCGGUCAGCGGCAGUCACAGCCCGGGAAUGAGCGCGGUGUUUGCAUUGACCCCCGCGCCCGGAGCCAGCAGCCGGAAGUGCUGGGUGUGAGGGCAGUUGCAUCUGUUCACCGUGUUCGAGUUAGGAACUGCUGGAAGGUUGUCUUUGAAUUGAUACAGGCUACUGCCUCACAGUCUCUGCUUUUUCUUACCAAGGAGAUAAUGCUGCCUGCUUCUUGUUUACAAUGUCUGACAUGAUCAUCAAAGGGGC